GGGAGGAGGAGGAGGAGGAGGUGAGGGGAGGAUGGGGACAUGGAGUUAGGUGGCCUGGGGGAGCUUCAUGAAAAGAGCCAAGAGGGGGUGUGGAUUAGCAACCGAGAGGCAACCUCAGGGAGAAGCAGAAGGCAGAGAGAGGGGUAGAGAGAUCAGGAGGCAGCGGGAGACUGGAGGGCUGGGGGAAGGCGAGGAAGGAGGAGAGACACCGAGGGGAGCAGAGGAGUGGGUUGGGGGACCUCCGUCCCUGGCUGGCUUGGCAUUUGGGGGGUCCGGGACUCCCUGUGGGGAGAAGAGGAAGGCUGGAAGUCCUGGAGGGACAGGGUCCCGCCGAGAAGAGAGGGAAGAGCCGAGAGAGGGGCCGGGCGCUGGGAAGGGGUCGCCCCGAGGCCUCCCGGGGAUGGGCGGUGCAGCCAGUCUGAGCGCCCCUCGAGCGCUGGUACUCGGGGCUGCACUGGGGGCGGCAGCUCACAUCGGACCCGCACCUGACCCCCGCGGACUGGUGGAGCUACAAGGAGAAUCUCCAGGGAAACUUCGUGCCAGGGCCUCCCUUCUGGGGCCUGGUGAACGCAGCCUGGAGUCUGUGUGCAGUGGGGAAGCGGCAGAGCCCCGUGGAUGUGGAGCUGAAGAGGGUUCUUUAUGACCCCUUCCUGCCCCCACUGAGGCUCAGCACCGGGGGAGAGAAGGU
Long non-coding RNA from Myotis lucifugus (little brown bat), 688 nucleotides. RefSeq lists it as uncharacterized. The record is from RefSeq and is a predicted model, not a curated record. The transcript has 3 exons. NCBI's taxonomy places the organism in Eukaryota, Metazoa, Chordata, Mammalia, Chiroptera, Vespertilionidae.